CUCCAGCCUGGUGACAAGGCAAGACUCCAUCUCAAAAUAAUAAAAUAAAUAAAGUAAUUAUUAAAAAUACAAUUAAAAUGGAAAAUAAUGGUAAGGAAAACAAUAAAGGAGAUUACUCAAGGAAAAUGACAAGGGCUAGGGUCAUACCUCCGACAGAUCUCUCAUUUAAUGGUUGAAUCAAUGAGUCUUCAAGAGACGGAAAGGGGAUCCUAGGAUGGUAGAAAGAGAACCAAGGGAGUGUGUCAGCACAGAAUCUAAGGUAAGUGAUGGCUCCAGUGAAGAGGCAAGCAUCAUCAGUGCCUUGAGCUGCUAAGGGGCAAGAGAGUAAAGAAUUUAACAAUUGUUGGAUUUAGGGCAUGAAGGGUGUUGGUGAACUACUGUCUUUUUUGGUGGAGGGAUGUGGGCAGAAGCUAAUUGCAUGAACGUCAUUGCAAAUGGGAGGUGAGGAAACAGGAACAAGAGAACAGGCAGUGCAAACUGUUCUCACUGCGGCAGACGCCAUUCUUCCCACCAGCUUGGCUGUAGCAGGGAGAGAACAGCAGGACAGCAGUGGGAGAGAGAUGUGGCAUCCAGGGAGAUGUGCUUAUCGGCUUGCUUGCCUAUUUGCUGAAGACAGGAAUUUUGAGGAUGUUCACGAGAGAAGUCUAUUAAUCAUUCUGGAUGCAGAAAGGAAACCGCAUUCUCAGCAUAAACAUAAAUUAUCAGCCUAAAACUCAAAUUCCUUCAGAGGGAUGGGGCACGUCGAAAGUUUCAAAUAGCUCAAAUAGAACAAAUGGAUAAGAAGAGAUAAUGC
Molecule: long non-coding RNA, 793 nt
Filed under: Macaca mulatta (Rhesus monkey)
Lineage: Eukaryota; Metazoa; Chordata; Mammalia; Primates; Cercopithecidae
Description: lncRNA (ENSMMUG00000050177.1)
Source: RNAcentral